UACGUAGGUGGCAAGCGUUGUCCGGAAUUAUUGGGCGUAAAGCGCGCGCAGGCGGUCCUUUAAGUCUGAUGUGAAAGCCCUCGGCUCAACCGAGGAGGGUCAUUGGAAACUGGAGGACUUGAGUGCAGAAGAGGAAAGUGGAAUUCCAAGUGUAGCGGUGAAAUGCGUAGAGAUUUGGAGGAACACAAGUGGCGAAGGCGACUUUCUGGUCUGUAACUGACGCUGAGGCGCGAAAGCGUGGGGAGCAAACAGG
Molecule: ribosomal RNA, 253 nt
Filed under: uncultured bacterium
Lineage: Bacteria
Description: partial 16S ribosomal RNA
Rfam family: Bacterial small subunit ribosomal RNA
Source: RNAcentral